Non-coding RNA from Drosophila ananassae, 87 nucleotides. The record is from Rfam. Lineage: Eukaryota; Metazoa; Arthropoda; Insecta; Diptera; Drosophilidae.
AUUCCCCUAAAUUGAUGAUAACUUCAUACCCAACUCAGAACACUUAUGUUGAAAUCUUUUUAACAUGCAUCACCAUCUGAAUAAAUC